GAAGAAGAAAAAGAAGAAGAAGCAGCAGCUACAAUCUACAAAGUAAAAAUUAAGGCUUCAAAUUCAAUGGUCAGGGUUUUACUUCGUUCCAUGGGUGGCAAAGCAGAAUCGGAAAGAUGGAGGAAUAAAAUAAGAUGAGGAUUGAGGAAAAAAGUAAUGGGUGUUAUGAUAAUAAUUCUAUUAGCUGUUGCCAGCAAAUCACUGGGAGAAGUUCAACUCCAAGAUGAGGCUCAUGAAAGAAGCUUAUAACACUGAUUUUUGUUGGCCUUAAUUGAAGGCUUAUUUCUCAACAGGGCUGAUGGUUUGAAACUUAUUAUAAUAUCCGCAACAGAUGACGCGGAAAAGCUUUCUGCAUACUUCUUUGGUUGCAAUAGAGAUCAUGUGGUUGGGAAAAAAAUACCAUGUUGACAUCAAAUAUGUUUCAGUGAUUCAGUUAUACUCAGAUGAUUUCCUCCGAAGCCAUAUGCUGAUAUUCCUAUUUCUACACAAGGUAGCUUUGUACACAAUGUAUGUAAGUUAGUCUACAUUCUAGAACUGCAAACUUCGACAGAUCUGUGUUAUUACCUUUGUGGUGAAACAUCUAA
Long non-coding RNA from Papaver somniferum (opium poppy), 584 nucleotides. RefSeq lists it as uncharacterized. NCBI's taxonomy places the organism in Eukaryota, Viridiplantae, Streptophyta, Magnoliopsida, Ranunculales, Papaveraceae. The transcript has 5 exons. The record is from RefSeq and is a predicted model, not a curated record.